Molecule: long non-coding RNA, 154 nt
Organism: Ctenocephalides felis (cat flea)
Lineage: Eukaryota; Metazoa; Arthropoda; Insecta; Siphonaptera; Pulicidae
Exons: 3
Source: RefSeq, a predicted model, not a curated record
GAUUAUUAGUUGCUGGUUGCUGAGAAUGCUGGUACGAGCAAGAAUAAAGCAUAGUGGCAGAUCGAUAAAGGUAGGUCAACUCAAGAUAUUGUUGCUGAGAUGGGCGUGAGGGUCCAGACUUGCAUAAACUUGUCUAAACUCGAGAAGCAGUACU